RNAcentral lists this ribosomal RNA (465 nucleotides) under uncultured bacterium. Its description in RNAcentral is "partial 16S ribosomal RNA". It matches the Rfam family "Bacterial small subunit ribosomal RNA", at positions 28 to 507 of the family's 1533-position model. The record is from RNAcentral.
GACGAACGCUGGCGGCGUGCUUAACACAUGCAAGUCGAACGGAAAGGCCCCUUUGGGGGUACUCGAGUGGCGAACGGGUGAGUAACACGUGAGUAACCUGCCCUUGACUUCGGGAUAACUUCAGGAAACUGGGGCUAAUACCGGAUAGGAAUCCUUGCUGCAUGGGGGGGGUUGGAAAGCGUCGGCGGUUUUGGAUGGACUCGCGGCGUAUCAGCUUGUUGGUGGGGUAGUGGCUUACCAAGGCUUUGACGGGUAGCCGGCCUGAGAGGGCGACCGGCCACAUUGGGACUGAGAUACGGCCCAGACUCCUACGGGAGGCAGCAGUGGGGAAUAUUGCACAAUGGGCGGAAGCCUGAUGCAGCAACGCCGCGUGCGGGAGGACGGCCUUCGGGUUGGAAACCGCUUUCAGCAGGGGCGAAGCUUGUGGUGACGGUACCUGCAGAAGAAGCACCGGCUAACUACGUG